Molecule: ribosomal RNA, 460 nt
Filed under: uncultured bacterium
Lineage: Bacteria
Description: partial 16S ribosomal RNA
Rfam family: Bacterial small subunit ribosomal RNA
Source: RNAcentral
CCUACGGGAGGCAGCAGUGAGGAAUAUUGGUCAAUGGACGAGAGUCUGAACCAGCCAAGUCGCGUGAAGGAUGACUGCCCUAUGGGUUGUAAACUUCUUUUAUAUGGGAAUAAAAUGUUCCACGUGUGGGAUUUUGUAUGUACCAUAUGAAUAAGGAUCGGCUAACUCCGUGCCAGCAGCCGCGGUAAUACGGAGGAUCCGAGCGUUAUCCGGAUUUAUUGGGUUUAAAGGGAGCGUAGGUUGAUUGUUAAGUCAGUUGUGAAAGUUUGCGGCUCAACCGUAAAAUUGCAGUUGAAACUGGCAGUCUUGAGUACAGUAGAGGUGGGCGGAAUGCGUGGUGUAGCGGUGAAAUGCUUAGAUAUCACGAAGAACUCCGAUUGCGAAGGCAGCUCACUGGACUGCAACUGACACUGAGGCUCGAAAGUGUGGGGAUCAAACAGGAUUAGAUACCCCAGUAGUC